Molecule: ribosomal RNA, 394 nt
Filed under: Staphylococcus pasteuri
Lineage: Bacteria; Bacillati; Bacillota; Bacilli; Caryophanales; Staphylococcaceae
Description: bacterial SSU rRNA
Rfam family: Bacterial small subunit ribosomal RNA
Source: RNAcentral
GCGAAGAACCUUACCAAAUCUUGACAUCCUUUGACCGCUCUAGAGAUAGAGUCUUCCCCUUCGGGGGACAAAGUGACAGGUGGUGCAUGGUUGUCGUCAGCUCGUGUCGUGAGAUGUUGGGUUAAGUCCCGCAACGAGCGCAACCCUUAAGCUUAGUUGCCAUCAUUAAGUUGGGCACUCUAAGUUGACUGCCGGUGACAAACCGGAGGAAGGUGGGGAUGACGUCAAAUCAUCAUGCCCCUUAUGAUUUGGGCUACACACGUGCUACAAUGGACAAUACAAAGGGCAGCUAAACCGCGAGGUCAAGCAAAUCCCAUAAAGUUGUUCUCAGUUCGGAUUGUAGUCUGCAACUCGACUACAUGAAGCUGGAAUCGCUAGUAAUCGUAGAUCAGCA